Molecule: ribosomal RNA, 253 nt
Filed under: uncultured bacterium
Lineage: Bacteria
Description: partial 16S ribosomal RNA
Rfam family: Bacterial small subunit ribosomal RNA
Source: RNAcentral
GACAGAGGGUGCAAACGUUGUUCGGAAUUACUGGGCGUAAAGCGCGUGUAGGCGGCCAUGCAAGUCGGAUGUGAAAUCCCUCGGCUCAACCGAGGAACUGCAUCCGAUACUGGCGGGCUUGAAUCCGGGAGAGGGAUGUGGAAUUCCAGGUGUAGCGGUGAAAUGCGUAGAUAUCUGGAGGAACACCGGUGGCGAAGGCGGCAUCCUGGACCGGUAUUGACGCUGAGGCGCGAAAGCUAGGGGAGCAAACGGG